UUGAAUUUCGGGGUUAUAGGUUGGUCAUGCCUCUGGUAUGUACUGGUCUCACUGAUUCCUCCUUCCUGAUGAGCCGUAAUGCCAUUAAUUUGGCGUUGCGGGGAAUUUGGACUGUUACUUUGAAAAAUUAGAGUGUUUAAAGCAAGCUAACGCUUGAAUACAUUAGCAUGGAAUAAUGAAAUAGGACGUUCGAUCCUAUUUUGUUGGUUUCUAGGAUUGACGUAAUGAUUAAUAGGGAUAGUUGGGGGCAUUAGUAUUCAGUUGUCAGAGGUGAAAUUCUUGGAUUUAUUGAAGACUAACUACUGCGAAAGCAUUUGCCAAGGAUGUUUUCAUUAAUCAAGAACGAAAGUUAGGGGAUCGAAGACGAUCAGAUACCGUCGUAGUCUUAACCAUAAACUAUGCCGACUAGGGAUUGGAUGAUGUUAAUUUUUAAUGACUC
Molecule: ribosomal RNA, 439 nt
Filed under: fungal sp.
Lineage: Eukaryota; Fungi
Description: SSU rRNA
Rfam family: Eukaryotic small subunit ribosomal RNA
Source: RNAcentral